RNAcentral lists this ribosomal RNA (496 nucleotides) under Bacillus licheniformis. RNAcentral's name for it is "bacterial SSU rRNA". It matches the Rfam family "Bacterial small subunit ribosomal RNA", at positions 62 to 539 of the family's 1533-position model. The record is from RNAcentral. Lineage: Bacteria; Bacillati; Bacillota; Bacilli; Caryophanales; Bacillaceae.
UCGAGCGGACCGACGGGAGCUUGCUCCCUUAGGUCAGCGGCGGACGGGUGAGUAACACGUGGGUAACCUGCCUGUAAGACUGGGAUAACUCCGGGAAACCGGGGCUAAUACCGGAUGCUUGAUUGAACCGCAUGGUUCAAUCAUAAAAGGUGGCUUUUAGCUACCACUUACAGAUGGACCCGCGGCGCAUUAGCUAGUUGGUGAGGUAACGGCUCACCAAGGCGACGAUGCGUAGCCGACCUGAGAGGGUGAUCGGCCACACUGGGACUGAGACACGGCCCAGACUCCUACGGGAGGCAGCAGUAGGGAAUCUUCCGCAAUGGACGAAAGUCUGACGGAGCAACGCCGCGUGAGUGAUGAAGGUUUUCGGAUCGUAAAACUCUGUUGUUAGGGAAGAACCAGUACCGUUCGAAUAGGGCGGUACCUUGACGGUACCUAACCAGAAAGCCACGGCUAACUACGUGCCAGCAGCCGCGGUAAUACGUAAGUGGCAAGC